Molecule: long non-coding RNA, 826 nt
Filed under: Salmo salar (Atlantic salmon)
Lineage: Eukaryota; Metazoa; Chordata; Actinopteri; Salmoniformes; Salmonidae
Description: lncRNA (ENSSSAG00000105579.1)
Source: RNAcentral
UAACAAGUUUUUAUUUUCUAAGAACAGUUUGAAUUUAGGUGUGUUCCGCCUCCUCAUUCAUUCACAUAAAAAUAGUCAUUUUUACUUUUGCGGACAAUUUAAUUUUUGGGACAUUUCUGACCCGGACAAAAUUCCCCAAGCACUUUCCAAUUGUUUGUGCAGUUCAAGUCUGCAGACAUUUGCUAAUCUCCCGUCAGAACAGGAUCUGCACACGUGUUCACAUUUUCCAUCUGUUGCCCUCAUUGUUUUCGUUACUAAUAAUAACUUUGGAAAUGUGUGCGUUUCUAUCAAAUGGCGCAGCGGUCAAAGGCACAGCACGGAGUCAAAGGCACAGCACGGUGCUAGAGACGUCACUACAGACUCCCUGGUUCAAAUCCAUGCUGCGUUUCUAAAAACCACAAACAGUAUUUGCCAAUAUCAUAACUGGACAUCUUUCGAGCUGAAGAUUGAGGACAGCUUUUGUAUGCUAACGUUCUCUCCUUAACAGUUUUACUGGAUGGAAACACAGCAAGAAAACACAUAGGCCAAUAUGCAUAGUAUCAUGGCAGGUCACCUGUCAAGUCACCUGUCAGGCAGACUUUGCAGUGCCUCCGUGUGCGACUACCUUGAGCAGCAGUUUGAGGGACUUUGCAGGGAAAAUGCCGUGCAGUGAGGCGUAGGGGAUUGUCUAAAGCAGGGCGACCCCCAGUGGAGGGGCGCCGAGGGGUGUGGUGCUCCUCCAACAGCUCUCUCAUGAGGUUCUCUCUGUAUUUUUGGUGGUCCACCUUCCCUGUGGCCGACAUGGUUGCUGUAUGGACAGUGGAGAGGACAUGGACGUCUCUUUUGU